This 754-nucleotide ribosomal RNA is filed under the name unidentified microorganism. Its description in RNAcentral is "bacterial SSU rRNA". It matches the Rfam family "Bacterial small subunit ribosomal RNA", at positions 51 to 804 of the family's 1533-position model. The record is from RNAcentral.
ACACAUGCAAGUCGAGGGGUAAGAGUUCGUUCGGAACUUGAGACCGGCGCACGGGUGCGUAACGCGUAUGCAAUCUACCUUAUACAGGGGAAUAGCCCAGAGAAAUUUGGAUUAAUGCCCCAUAGUAUUAUGAAACGGCAUCGUUUUGUGAUUAAAGUUCCAACGGUAUAAGAUGAGCAUGCGUCCCAUUAGUUAGUUGGUAAGGUAACGGCUUACCAAGACAAUGAUGGGUAGGGGUCCUGAGAGGGAGAUCCCCCACACUGGUACUGAGACACGGACCAGACUCCUACGGGAGGCAGCAGUGAGGAAUAUUGGUCAAUGGGCGCAAGCCUGAACCAGCCAUGCCGCGUGCAGGAAGAAGCAUCUAUGGUGUGUAAACUGCUUUUAUACAGGAAGAAACAACUCUACGUGUAGAGUCUUGACGGUACUGUAAGAAUAAGGACCGGCUAACUCCGUGCCAGCAGCCGCGGUAAUACGGAGGGUCCAAGCGUUAUCCGGAAUCAUUGGGUUUAAAGGGUCCGUAGGCGGUCUUAUAAGUCAGUGGUGAAAGCCCAUCGCUCAACGAUGGAACUGCCAUUGAUACUGUAAGACUUGAAUACUUGUGAAGUAACUAGAAUAUGUAGUGUAGCGGUGAAAUGCUUAGAUAUUACAUGGAAUACCAAUUGCGAAGGCAGGUUACUAACAAGUUAUUGACGCUGAUGGACGAAAGCGUGGGGAGCGAACAGGAUUAGAUACCCUGGUAGUCCACGCCGUA